AACGAACGCUGGCGGCAUGCCUAACACAUGCAAGUCGAACGAGAUCUUCGGGUCUAGUGGCGCACGGGUGCGUAACGCGUGGGAAUCUGCCCUUUGGUUCGGAAUAACAGUUGGAAACGACUGCUAAUACCGGAUGAUGACGAAAGUCCAAAGAUUUAUCGCCAGAGGAUGAGCCCGCGUAGGAUUAGCUAGUUGGUGUGGUAAAGGCGCACCAAGGCGACGAUCCUUAGCUGGUCUGAGAGGAUGAUCAGCCACACCGGGACUGAGACACGGCCCAGACUCCGGCGGGGGGGAGCAGGGGGGAAUAUUGGAGAAUGGGCGAAAGCCUGAUCCAGCAAUGCCGCGUGGGUGAUGAAGGCCUUAGGGUUGUAAAGCUCUUUUACCCGGGAUGAUAAUGACAGUACCGGGAGAAUAAGCUCCGGCUAACUCCGUGCCAGCCGCCGCCGUAA
This 449-nucleotide ribosomal RNA is filed under the name uncultured bacterium. Its description in RNAcentral is "partial 16S ribosomal RNA". It matches the Rfam family "Bacterial small subunit ribosomal RNA", at positions 29 to 523 of the family's 1533-position model. The record is from RNAcentral.